AGCGAACGUUAGCGGCAGGCCUAACACAUGCAAGUCGCGCGAGAACAGGGUAGCAAUACCCCCAGUAAAGCGGCGGACGGGUGAGUAACACGUGGGUAAUGUACCCUUCGGCGGGGGAUAACAGUCCGAAAGGAUUGCUAAUACCGCAUUCGUCGGCGAGGACCUUGGUCUUUGUCGGGAAAGGUGGCCUCUUCAUGAAAGCUACCACCGGAGGAGCAGCCCGCGGCCCAUCAGCUAGUUGGCGGGGUAAUGGCCCACCAAGGCAAAGACGGGUAGCUGGUCUGAGAGGAUGAUCAGCCACACUGGAACUGAGACACGGUCCAGACUCCUACGGGAGGCUG
Molecule: ribosomal RNA, 341 nt
Filed under: uncultured Pseudomonadota bacterium
Lineage: Bacteria; Pseudomonadati; Pseudomonadota
Description: bacterial SSU rRNA
Rfam family: Bacterial small subunit ribosomal RNA
Source: RNAcentral